RNAcentral lists this ribosomal RNA (468 nucleotides) under uncultured bacterium. Its description in RNAcentral is "partial 16S ribosomal RNA". It matches the Rfam family "Bacterial small subunit ribosomal RNA", at positions 28 to 507 of the family's 1533-position model. The record is from RNAcentral.
GACGAACGCUGGCGGCGUGCUUAACACAUGCAAGUCGAACGGAAAGGCCCUGCUUUUGUGGGGUGCUCGAGUGGCGAACGGGUGAGUAACACGUGAGUCACCUUCCCUUUACUUUGGGAUAACUUCAGGCAACUGGGGCUAAUACCGGAUAGGAGCUCCUGCUGCAUGGUGGGGGUUGGACAGUUUCGGCGGUUGGGGAUGGACUCGCGGCUUAUCAGCUUGUUGGUGGGGUAGUGGCUUACCAAGGCUUUGACGGGUAGCCGGCCUGAGAGGGUGACCGGCCACAUUGGGACUGAGAUACGGCCCAGACUCCUACGGGAGGCAGCGGUGGGGAAUAUGGCACAAUGGGCGGAAGCCUGAUGCAGCAACGCCGCGUGCGGGAUGAAGGCCUUCGGGUUGUAAACCGCUUUCGCCUGCGACGAAGCGGGAGUGACGGUAAUGGGUAAAGAAGCACCGGCUAACUACGUG